RNAcentral lists this transfer RNA (77 nucleotides) under Flavobacterium arcticum. Its description in RNAcentral is "tRNA-Arg". It matches the Rfam family "tRNA". Rfam says of the family: Transfer RNA (tRNA) molecules are approximately 80 nucleotides in length. Their secondary structure includes four short double-helical elements and three loops (D, anti-codon, and T loops). Further hydrogen bonds mediate the characteristic L-shaped molecular structure. tRNAs have two regions of fundamental functional importance: the anti-codon, which is responsible for specific mRNA codon recognition, and the 3' end, to which the tRNAs corresponding amino acid is attached (by aminoacyl-tRNA synthetases). tRNAs cope with the degeneracy of the genetic code in two manners: having more than one tRNA (with a specific anti-codon) for a particular amino acid; and 'wobble' base-pairing, i.e. permitting non-standard base-pairing at the 3rd anti-codon position. The record is from RNAcentral. Lineage: Bacteria; Pseudomonadati; Bacteroidota; Flavobacteriia; Flavobacteriales; Flavobacteriaceae.
GGCUCCGUAGUUCAACUGGAUAGAAUAUCAGAUUUCGGCUCUGAGGGUUGGGGGUUCGAAUCCCUUCGGAGUCACAA